AACUUUUAGCAAUGGAUCACUUGGCUCUCACAUCGAUGAAGAACGCAGCGAAUUGCGAAAAGUAAUGUGAAUUGCAGAAUUCCGCGAAUCAUUGAAUCUUUGAACGCACCUUGCACUCUAUGGUUUUCCAGAGAGUAUGGCUGUCUGAGCGUCAGCACAUUCUUGCGAUUAUCGCAGUUCUGGGCUCUCUGUUGCGUAGCGAUAUGUCGCGGCGAUGGUUGCCUGAAAUGCAGCGCAAGCUGUGGCUAGUCUGCAGUUGGUCAGCGAGUAUGGUUCUCUUUCGGGAGAUUAUGUACGCUGUUGUGCCGACUGCGAUUUGCAGCUGCGUGGCGUGCACUUGCGCGCUAACCCGUGGUGGUCGCACUCCGUGCUCCCCCACACCAUCUAGUGACCUCAGAUCAGCUGGGACUACCCGCUGAAUUUAAGCAUAUCAAUAAGCGGAGGCU
RNAcentral lists this unclassified non-coding RNA (446 nucleotides) under uncultured Ascomycota. RNAcentral describes it as "sequence contains ITS2". The stretch from base 1 to 154 matches the Rfam family "5.8S ribosomal RNA". Lineage: Eukaryota; Fungi; Ascomycota. The record is from RNAcentral.